GCUGGGUGUGGUGGUGCAUGCCUGUAAUCCCAGCUACUCGGGAGGCUGAGGCAGGAGAAUUGCUUGAACCUGGGAGGCAGAGGUGCAGUGAGCUGAGAUCAUGCCACUGCACUCCAGCCUGGGUGACAGAGCCAGACUCCGUCUCAA
This 147-nucleotide non-coding RNA is filed under the name Pan paniscus (pygmy chimpanzee). RNAcentral also lists the same sequence under 1 other name. Lineage: Eukaryota; Metazoa; Chordata; Mammalia; Primates; Hominidae. The record is from Rfam by way of RNAcentral.